Non-coding RNA from Drosophila melanogaster (fruit fly), 527 nucleotides. Lineage: Eukaryota; Metazoa; Arthropoda; Insecta; Diptera; Drosophilidae. The record is from Ensembl.
AUUGCUGUGAUGAAACUCCAUUCUCCUCAGACUUUUGAAUAAUUAUCUCCCGUAGAAUUUCAGCCGAGUGCAGCGGCCAUAUCAGAGCCUCAUAUCUCGUAUCACAUAUCAUCACACCCACUCCAGGGUAAACAAAACGAAACUGUAAACGGCAAUUAAAAGCAACUGUGACCCGCAGAAAACGAACUGUAUAACCACGUAUGUAUGUAAUAACGGCGGUAAAGGCUUUAGCUUUGGUCAACGACUUCCGAACGGACAGCGAGGAAUUUAAAACAAUGAACGCGAUUCUAAUCGCGCCUGCAAUCAAAUUUUCAUACGAAAUUUGUCGCGAAAAACAGUUGUGGGCCAAAUUCGUAUGCAAAUUGGUUAGCGAAAAGGCGGUGGAAGUUGUCCAAUUCCAAAAGUGGCCUGCAAGCGUUCAUUUAGCCACUUGAGCGCCGGAUACCAAAGGGGGAAAAAUGAAUAAUAAAAUCGGCAACAAAAAGUGGGUGGAUGUGGUUGUAAUUGAGGGAGGAGGGCGUGCCCCG